Molecule: ribosomal RNA, 248 nt
Filed under: uncultured bacterium
Lineage: Bacteria
Description: partial 16S ribosomal RNA
Rfam family: Bacterial small subunit ribosomal RNA
Source: RNAcentral
GUUGCUCGGAAUCACUGGGCGUAAAGCGCACGUAGGCGGAUCUUUAAGUCAGGGGUGAAAUCCUGGAGCUCAACUCCAGAACUGCCUUUGAUACUGGCAGCUAGAGUCCGGAAGGGGUAAGUGGAACUCCUAGUGUAGAGGUGGAAUUCGUAGAUAUUAGGAAGAACACCAGUGGCGAAGGCGGCUUACUGGUCCGGAACUGACGCUGAGGUGCGAAAGCGUGGGGAGCAAACAGGAUAGAAACCCCU